Molecule: unclassified non-coding RNA, 1428 nt
Filed under: Athalia rosae (coleseed sawfly)
Lineage: Eukaryota; Metazoa; Arthropoda; Insecta; Hymenoptera; Athaliidae
Description: misc RNA ENSAEAG00005011135.1
Source: RNAcentral
UCUGAAUUAUGAAUUCCAAUCGUUGUCUUGUGGUGAAUAGUAGUGAACAUUAGUAGUUCAAGCCAUUUAAAAUCCCGUUGCAAUUUGUGAGUUAGCACUCUCGAAAGAUCGUCUUAUUGUCAGUUCUUCAAGUGCAUAAUUGUAGAGGAAAAAACUUGUAAUUUUGGUCACCGGUUUCAUUGAGUAACUGUCGCAGCAGCACCGACAGCAGUAGUAGUGAAAUUCCCACAUCGAACCUUACCACCGAGGAAUGCGAACCCAGCAAUGUUCAACAACCGAAGCGAAGUGGAUUUGCAAAAGCCUUUGAAAAGUACACUGCACCUAUUGUCGAAGCUCCUGAAGUACCCAAAACUUUUGCUUCUCUGCUCCGUCAUUCAAAGUUCAUCGAUCUAGGCGAUCCAAAGGGACAGGUUGUGUUUGGGAAAAUAUUCCACGUAGUUGACGAUGACCUGUACAUAGACUUUGGAUGGAAAUUUCAUUGCGUAUGCACACGGCCUGCAAAAAAUGGAGAGAACUAUGUCGAAGGUACCGCAGUCCGAAUCCGAAUAAAUGAUCUCGAGUUAUCGACACGGUUUCUGGGCUCAUCGUCAGAUCUUACCAUUUUAGAAGCUGACUGCACACUCCUAGGUAUAGCCUCUUCCAUUUCACAGAAACAAGAGAACAAAUCUACUACAGCUGCAACAGUGUAGCAUUAGCACCUCAGUUUUCAUGAUGCACCAUUGGUCUUGUAACAUCAGUUUCAUAUUAAUCUGUGAAUCGGACACAUCGACGUGGAAACUUGUAAAGUAGAACUUACUAUGACCGAAUCAAAGACAAUGCACAUAGGUUAUCUUUCAGGAUGGUUCAAUUUCAAACAUAAUUCGAACUUUUGAAAUACACUAAUGAGAUGUCAAUCUGUACCAUACUUAUAACUCAUGUUGAAAGCUAAUCUUAACUUUGUGACGCUUGUUAUUUAUUGAAUUUUUUUUCUGAAUUGAUCAAUGAUCUAAAUUUAAAUACUUCGAACUUUAAAUCUUCAAAUAUUUGGGCAAAAACGAAAACUUAUUUUUACAAGCUACAGCUCUUUGCGCUGAAAUAUAUUUCCAUUGUUAAUAAUUAUUUCACCGCUGUAAUUGCUACUUAUGUUGCGCCAUUAUCGACUUAUGAAAAGUAGAUUUUGUACUUUCUAUUGAAAAGUGCAUCGCAAGACGACAACAAGUUUUGUUUGUGUUUCCUUGAAAACAAUGUACAUAGACAUAAAGAUUAGUGUAGAAAUAUUGUACCAAGAGAAGUGUACGUUGAUUUUCUUAACCCUUCAUUUUCCAAUUACUCUAGGUGCAAGGAUUUUUAAAGGCUUAAUAAUUUUGUGAUGAUGUGGGCUUCCUUGAGCUCCUUAAAUGCGCUAGUGUAGCAACUGGCAUAUUUGCUUUGGCAGUUACUGUCCUCGGA